This 293-nucleotide ribosomal RNA is filed under the name uncultured bacterium. RNAcentral describes it as "partial 16S ribosomal RNA". It matches the Rfam family "Archaeal small subunit ribosomal RNA", at positions 455 to 747 of the family's 1478-position model. The record is from RNAcentral.
GUGCCAGCCGCCGCGGUAAUACCGGCAGCCCGAGUGAUGGCCGAUCUUAUUGGGCCUAAAGCGUCCGUAGCCGGCCAGACAAGUCCGUUGGGAAAUCGGCGUGCCUAACACGUCGGCGUCCAGCGGAAACUGUUUGGCUUGGGGCCAGAAGAUCCGAGGGGUACGUCCGGGGUAGGAGUGAAAUCCCGUAAUCCUGGACGGACCACCGGUGGCGAAAGCGCCUCGGAAAGAUGGACCCGACGGUGAGGGACGAAAGCUGGGGUCUCGAACCGGAUUAGAUACCCCUGUAGUCC